Oncorhynchus keta (chum salmon) is the source of this 534-nucleotide long non-coding RNA. RefSeq lists it as uncharacterized. The transcript has 3 exons. NCBI's taxonomy places the organism in Eukaryota, Metazoa, Chordata, Actinopteri, Salmoniformes, Salmonidae. The record is from RefSeq and is a predicted model, not a curated record.
GUUAUUGAUGAAAAACAGGCCCUACCCUAGUUAUUGAUGAAAAACAGGUCCUACCCUAGUUAUUGAUGAAAAACAGGUCCUACCCUAGUUAUUGAUGAAAAACAGGUCCUACCCUAGUUAUUGAUGAAAAACAGGUCCUACCCUAGUUAUUGAUGAAAAACAGGUCCUACCCUAGUUAUUGAUGAAAAACAGGUCCUACCCUAGUUAUUGAUGAAAAACAGGUCCUACCCUAGUUAUUGAUGAAAAACAGGUCCUACCCUAGUUAUUGAUGAAAAACAGGUCCUACCAUAGUUAUUGAUGAAAAACAGGUCCUACCCUAGUUAUUGAUGAAAAACAGGUCCUACCCUAGUUAUUGAUGAAAAACAGGUCCUACCCUAGUUAUUGAUGAAAAACAGGUCUUAUCCUAGUUAUUGAUGAAAAACAGGUCCUACCCGAUGUAUAAUGUCGGGCUCGGGUUGGGUAGCAGAGCGCUACCCUAUUGCCGAAAUACAGAAACGGUAUGAAGGUAUGAGAAUCUGGAUAGCGUCCAACUCU